RNAcentral lists this ribosomal RNA (523 nucleotides) under uncultured bacterium. Its description in RNAcentral is "bacterial SSU rRNA". It matches the Rfam family "Bacterial small subunit ribosomal RNA", at positions 776 to 1297 of the family's 1533-position model. The record is from RNAcentral.
AAAUAGAUACCCGGGUAGUCCACGCCGUAAACGAUGAGUGCUAAGUGUUAGAGGGUUUCCGCCCUUUAGUGCUGCAGCUAACGCAUUAAGCACUCCGCCUGGGGAGUACGGCCGCAAGGCUGAAACUCAAAGGAAUUGACGGGGGCCCGCACAAGCGGUGGAGCAUAUGGUUUAAUUCGAAGCAACGCGAAGAACCUUACCAGGUCUUGACAUCCUCUGCCAACCCUAGAGAUAGGGUGUUCCCCUUCGGGGGACAGAGUGACAGGUGGUGCAUGGUUGUCGUCAGCUCGUGUCGUGAGAUGUUGGGUUAAGUCCCGCAACGAGCGCAACCCUUGAUCUUAGUUGCCAGCAUUUAGUUGGGCACUCUAAGGUGACUGCCGGUGACAAACCGGAGGAAGGUGGGGAUGACGUCAAAUCAUCAUGCCCCUUAUGACCUGGGCUACACACGUGCUACAAUGGAUGGUACAAAGAGCUGCGAACCCGCGAGGGUAAGCCAAUCUCAUAAAGCCAUUCUCAGUUCGGA